AGAGUUUGAUCAUGGCUCAGAAUCAACGCUGGCGGCGUGCCUAACACAUGCAAGUCGAACGCGAAAGUCCCGCAAGGGAUGAGUAGAGUGGCAAACGGGUGAGUAACGCGUGGGCGAUCUGCCUUCGAGUGGGGGAUAACUUUCCGAAAGGAGAGCUAAUACCGCAUGACAUCCCGUGUUUGGAUACACGGAGAUCAAAGCCGGGGUCGCAAGACCUGGCGCUUGAAGAGGAGCCCGCGUCCGAUUAGCUAGUUGGUGGGGUAACGGCCCACCAAGGCUCCGAUCGGUAUCCGGCCUGAGAGGGCGGACGGACACACUGGGACUGAGACACGGCCCAGACUCCUACGGGAGGCAGCAGUGGGGAAUUGUUCGCAAUGGGCGCAAGCCUGACGACGCAACGCCGCGUGGAGGAUGAAGACCUUCGGGUCGUAAACUCCUUUCGACCGAGAUGAAGACACGCCGACCUAACACGUCGGCGUGCUGACAGUAUCGAGGGAAGCAGCCCCGGCUAACUCCGUGCCAGCAGCCGCGGUAGUACGGGGGGGGCAAGCGUUGUUCGGAAUUACUGGGCGUAAAGGGUUCGUAGGUGGCCGGCUAAGUCAGACGUGAAAUCCCUCAGCUUAACUGGGGAACUGCGUCUGAGACUGGUCGGCUCGAGGGCCGGAGAGGAACGUGGAAUUCCAGGUGUAGCGGUGAAAUGCGUAGAUAUCUGGAGGAACACCGGUGGCGAAGGCGGCGUUCUGGACGGCAUCUGACACUGAUGAACGAAAGCCAGGGGAGCAAACGGGAUUAGAUACCCCCGUAGUCC
This 808-nucleotide ribosomal RNA is filed under the name uncultured bacterium. RNAcentral's name for it is "bacterial SSU rRNA". It matches the Rfam family "Bacterial small subunit ribosomal RNA", at positions 8 to 796 of the family's 1533-position model. The record is from RNAcentral.